UGGCCUAUGCUUGAUUUUAUUUUAUUGUCAAAGCAUCAUCCUGGGAAAUGAAUGCCCCUAUUUCCUCCCUGUACACAGGAAACUGGGAUUUACAGAAAUGAAGUCUCUUGCCUGAUGUCACUCAGCUGUCAAGGGAUGAAUUUAUAGUUCACCACAGAGAUAAUAUAUUAUUGGGAUGAAAUUCUCUCUCUCUCUCUCUCUCUCUCUCUCUCUCUCUCUCUCUCUCUCUCUCUCUCUGUGUGUGUGUGUGUGUGUGUGUGUGUGUGUGUAUGUGUGUGUGUGUGUGCUUAGCUGAAAGUACAAAUGUCUGGCUGUUAUUUAAAAAGCCUAUAGUUACAGGGCUUUUCACCUUUGGCAAGUGUGGAUGAAGAGAAGGAGUGAUUAGGGUCCAUACAAAUGAGCAAGAGUCAGAUAACAAAGUCAUAAACUUGGUACUCAGGAGAAAGUGAUAAAGAUGAUAAACAAUUGAACUUUCCUAACAUGAUAUUUAGAGGACAAAAGAAUUACAAAAAGCAAGUUAACAAAUUUUAAAUACCUCCCAUGUAUGCAAUUGUAUACUUGCUGUAUCAAAGCUGAGACUGCUCUAAUAGUUUAUUUACGCAGUGCCUAACUCACAGAACAAUACUCAGAGAAAGCUUUGCUGCCAUCAGUGCACAGGUUUGGAUUAUAUUCUGCAGUCAUGCUGAUGCCAGAUACCCAGGUAACACUAGCUGAUCCAAAGAAAGAAAGUCAGGAAGGAAGAUUAGAUUAACUUAGUAUUGCUUCACAUAGAGAAGUCUAGGAAGCCUGUGUCUGACUGACAUUUAAACCUUCUUUCUACUCAAGUACAUUAUUCUUUUUUGUCUGUUUGUUUGUUUUUGGUUUGGUAUUGGGUUUUUUUUUUUGUUUUUUUUUUUUUUUUGUUUUGUUUUUUGUUUUUUGAGACAGGGUUUUUCUGUGUAGCCCUGUCUGUCGUGGAACUCAUUCUGUAGACCAGGCUGGCCUUGAACUCAGAAAUCCACCUGCCUGUGCCUUCCAAGUGCUGGGAUUAAAGGCGUGUACCACCAUGCCCGGCUUAAGUACAUUAUUCUUGAUGGGGCUGUGCACACGCAUCCAUGUGUGAAUGU
Molecule: long non-coding RNA, 1106 nt
Filed under: Mus musculus (house mouse)
Lineage: Eukaryota; Metazoa; Chordata; Mammalia; Rodentia; Muridae
Description: long non-coding RNA chrX:145002200-145003306
Source: RNAcentral